GUCGAGCGGUAGCACAGAGAGCUUGCUCUCGGGUGACGAGCGGCGGACGGGUGAGUAAUGUCUGGGAAACUGCCUGAUGGAGGGGGAUAACUACUGGAAACGGUAGCUAAUACCGCAUAAUGUCGCAAGACCAAAGUGGGGGACCUUCGGGCCUCAUGCCAUCAGAUGUGCCCAGAUGGGAUUAGCUAGUAGGUGGGGUAAUGGCUCACCUAGGCGACGAUCCCUAGCUGGUCUGAGAGGAUGACCAGCCACACUGGAACUGAGACACGGUCCAGACUCCUACGGGAGGCAGCAGUGGGGAAUAUUGCACAAUGGGCGCAAGCCUGAUGCAGCCAUGCCGCGUGUGUGAAGAAGGCCUUCGGGUUGUAAAGCACUUUCAGCGGGGAGGAAGGCGUUAAGGUUAAUAACCUUGGCGAUUGACGUUACCCGCAGAAGAAGCACCGGCUAACUCCGUGCCAGCAGCCGCGGUAAUACGGAGGGUGCAAGCGUUAAUCGGAAUUACU
Molecule: ribosomal RNA, 503 nt
Filed under: uncultured Klebsiella sp.
Lineage: Bacteria; Pseudomonadati; Pseudomonadota; Gammaproteobacteria; Enterobacterales; Enterobacteriaceae
Description: bacterial SSU rRNA
Rfam family: Bacterial small subunit ribosomal RNA
Source: RNAcentral